ACGGCCGUACCAUGCUGAAUAUACCGGUUCUCGUUAGAUCACCGAAGUCAAGCAUCAUUGGGCGCGGUCAGAACUUGGGUGGGUGACCACCUGGGAACAUGCGUGUCGU
This 109-nucleotide ribosomal RNA is filed under the name Caerostris darwini. Lineage: Eukaryota; Metazoa; Arthropoda; Arachnida; Araneae; Araneidae. The record is from RNAcentral.